CUGCUAUCGAGGUUCGACUAAGCCAUGCGAGUCGAAUGUAGCAAUACAUGGCGAACUGCUCAGUAACACGUGGACAACCUACCCUUAGGUCAGGGAUAACCCCGGGAAACUGGGAAUAAUACCUGAUAUGGCGCGAAGGCUGGAAUGCAUCGCGCAAGAAAGCUCCGGUGCCUAAGGAUGGGUCUGCGGCCUAUCAGGGUAGUAGUGGGUGUAACGUACCUACUAGCCUACGACGGGUACGGGUUGUGAGAGCAAGAGCCCGGAGAUGGAUUCUGAGACACGAAUCCAGGCCCUACGGGGUGCAGCAGGCGCGAAAACUUUACAAUGCCGGCAACGGCGAUAAGGGAACC
This 350-nucleotide ribosomal RNA is filed under the name uncultured Methanotrichaceae archaeon. Its description in RNAcentral is "bacterial SSU rRNA". It matches the Rfam family "Archaeal small subunit ribosomal RNA", at positions 27 to 380 of the family's 1478-position model. The record is from RNAcentral. Lineage: Archaea; Methanobacteriati; Methanobacteriota; Methanomicrobia; Methanotrichales; Methanotrichaceae.